Molecule: ribosomal RNA, 227 nt
Filed under: uncultured bacterium
Lineage: Bacteria
Description: partial 16S ribosomal RNA
Rfam family: Bacterial small subunit ribosomal RNA
Source: RNAcentral
CUGAACCAGCCAAGUAGCGUGAAGGAUGACUGCCCUAUGGGUUGUAAACUUCUUUUAUAUGGGAAUAAAGUUUUCCACGUGUGGAAUUUUGUAUGUACCCUAUGAAUAAGGAUCGGCUAACUCCGUGCCAGCAGCCGCGGUAAUACGGAGGAUGCGAGCGUUAUCCGGAUUUAUUGGGUUUAAAGGGAGCGUAGGUGGUGAUUUAAGUCAGUUGUGAAAGUUUGCGG